This 814-nucleotide unclassified non-coding RNA is filed under the name Hevea brasiliensis (rubber tree). Lineage: Eukaryota; Viridiplantae; Streptophyta; Magnoliopsida; Malpighiales; Euphorbiaceae. The record is from RNAcentral.
AGCUAUGCGGAAGAUGAAGAAUGAAUUCAUGGUUAAUUGGGAUGGUUUGCGUACAAAAGAUAAGGAACGGGUUCUUGUACUUGCUGCAACAAAUAGACCCUUUGACCUGGAUGAAGCAGUUAUUAGGAGGCUUCCCCGUAGGUUAAUGGUAAACUUGCCAGAUGCUUCAAAUAGGGAGAAAAUUUUGGGAGUUAUUUUGGCGAAGGAAGAAUUAGCCCCAAAUGUCGAUUUAGAAGCUAUUGCUACUAUGACGGACGGGUAUUCAGGGAGUGAUUUGAAGAAUUUGUGUGUGAGCGCUGCGCAUUGCCCUAUUAGAGAAAUUUUGGAGAAGGAGAAGAAGGAGAAAACAUUGGCAAUUGCAGAGAGCAGGCCAUCACCGGCUUUGCAUAGUAGUGCAGACAUUCGUCCUCUUAACAUGGAUGAUUUUAAGUAUGCACAUGAGCAGGUAUGUGCCAGUGUGUCAUCAGAGUCUUCAAAUAUGAAUGAGCUUCUCCAGUGGAAUGAUUUAUAUGGAGAAGGAGGAUCAAGAAAGAAAACAUCUCUCAGUUACUUCAUGUAGAGGAGAUAUGUUUAACUAUAUAGCAAGGCAUUGGUUUAUUUGUUUUCCUGUUCUGCAACCCGCGAUAACAGCAUUGCGUGGAUAAUCCAUUUCAGGUUCCCCAAAGUCCAAUUGGCCUUGGCCCCUGACCCCCCCUUUUGUAUCAUACUUAGUUGAUAGGAUUUUUUUCCAGUUGCAAGUCCUGAAGUCUCACCCAAUUUUUCUCAUUUUUAGCUCUCUUCUCUGUACAUAUGAGUUGAGUAAUUUAAGAAAAAG